UUAUGAUUGGAGAGAAGACAAACAAUGUAAACACAAAAAGAAUAAUUUGCUACAAAGAAUAGUAGAUGGGGGUUGUAUAAAGUGAAGGUUUGUCAAACCAAUACUAAAGAUCUUGCUAGCUAUGAAUGGUUUGAUACAGUAUGAGUUUGUACCAUAUCAUUUUCGUGCAUAUCAAAACUAAGCAGAAUCAAAGAGAGAGGGAGAGAGGAAGAGACAGAGAGAGUGUGUGUGUGAGAGAGAGAGAGGGGGGAGAGGAAGGGAGGGCGAGAGGGAGAGGCCAAGAAAGGGCAUGGG
RNAcentral lists this long non-coding RNA (294 nucleotides) under Elaeis guineensis (African oil palm). RNAcentral's name for it is "long non-coding RNA (EGUI_LNC034805)". Lineage: Eukaryota; Viridiplantae; Streptophyta; Magnoliopsida; Arecales; Arecaceae. The record is from RNAcentral.